This 1054-nucleotide long non-coding RNA is filed under the name Macaca mulatta (Rhesus monkey). RNAcentral describes it as "lncRNA (ENSMMUG00000053873.1)". The record is from RNAcentral. Lineage: Eukaryota; Metazoa; Chordata; Mammalia; Primates; Cercopithecidae.
AGGCGGUCUAUGCUCUGAACUCAACCCACCUUUAUAACUUCUUCCAUUACUCCCUUUGUACAUACCUCACAUUCUGACCAAACUGGACUCCUUACCAACUGUAUCCUUCUUUUUUCCUCUUUCAAGAAUCUAGCCAUGCUGUCCCUUAUUCCUAACAUGGCCUUCUCUCAUCUCCAGUUCUCAGAACCCAGCACUCUUCUUGGAUGAAGCUUCCCAGAUUUUUCCUGCCAUGCCCAGUCCCUCUCUCCACACCUUUCCUUUCACAGAAUUCCCAUAUUCAUUCGUUUCUAUGUCUCUGUAUCUAAGUGUGUCUAUUGUAUCUAAGUAAGUCAUGUUCUUGCCUUGUUUCCCUUUCAGAAUAUCAAGUUCCUUGAGGUCAGGAGCUGUAUCUUGACCAGCUUUACAUCCCCCUAGUACCACGGCUCACAAAGAACCCAGAGCUACCUGAGGGAACACUGCUUGGAGAACACUCCCUUAGCCCAGAUGGCCAUGCAGUAGUAGAUGUCACAGAGUUGGUGCUCCUGGAAGGGACGAGUUAUAGAAUGACUGAGGUGGGUGGAGCACCUCCCAAAAGGUUUUCUGGAGGACACAAGUUCUGUGUAAUGAAUCUUACUAAUUAAUGAACAGUGACUGAAAAAGCUCAUUAGCCACCGUUCCAUCCGCAUAGGGUCAACUCCAGGAGUGAAGAAUCAGACAAAAGAGAACUGAUGUGUAAUCAGCUAUGAUUUGACAGAUGGGUGGGGGGACCCAGCGCCAGUUUUGGCCUAGGUGAUCUAGAGCAUCAAACAAUCCAACGCCAUCUUCUUUUUGGCUCUAGAGUCUAGUCUGUGAUUGUCCUUUGACAAUAAAUUGCCCUUCCUAUAUUUUCCUCUCCACCUCAUGGUACUGAUAAGAAUGUUAGCUGAGUUACUGAGGCUUACUAUGUGGCAGACCUUGUACUAAGUGCUCCAAAUACGUGAUCUCAUUCAAAUGUCCCAGUGAUUCUGACACAGGUGGGUACUAUAAUUACUCACAUUCUAUAGGCGGGGGAACCACAGCAUAUAGAGGUUAAAUA